Molecule: non-coding RNA, 57 nt
Filed under: uncultured Alsobacter sp.
Lineage: Bacteria; Pseudomonadati; Pseudomonadota; Alphaproteobacteria; Hyphomicrobiales; Alsobacteraceae
Description: terC RNA
Rfam family: terC RNA
Source: RNAcentral
GUGGUCCGGGCCCCUCUGGCGAGCGCAGCCGGUGCUCUCGCGAUGUCGGACCGCUUC